This is a long non-coding RNA of Oncorhynchus kisutch (coho salmon), 4573 nucleotides long. RefSeq lists it as uncharacterized. The record is from RefSeq and is a predicted model, not a curated record. The transcript has 5 exons. NCBI's taxonomy places the organism in Eukaryota, Metazoa, Chordata, Actinopteri, Salmoniformes, Salmonidae.
AGUUUCGUUUAUUGUAGUAUCAUUAAGUUUCCUGCCUGUCCCGACCGCUGUGCUUCAUGCGCAAUACACUGAGAAUUUGAGUACAGUACAUAGGAAAUGACUCAUAGGAGUUGAACUGUUAGCGUGGGUGUGUACUCUAUUUAAACAAGGCUCAGACUACUCGGGAUGACUCAGUGCGAGGCUAGCUUUCAUUGGUGAAAACCAACACGGGCUGUUCAUGAGAUGAACUUUCGGGAAUUGCGUUUAUACAUGAACGAUGGCUUCAUACAUUCUCUGUGCGCUUUGUGGACUGAUCAUUGCGACUAUAGUCAAACUAAACGGAGUGAAUGGGCAAAGCCUAUGCACCAGUAAAGAGUUCUGGAGUUCAGACAUAGACCAAUGUGUAUCCUGCUCAACAUGCAAGCAGUAUCCAAAGACCCCUUCAUGUAACACUUGCACAUUUACAGAGGAGAGUUCUGAUGUCUGGAGACUGGCAGCCAUUUCCAGCUUCUCUGUGCUGGCAGUCGUUCUGCUCAUUGCAGUAUUGAUCAUUGGGGUCAUGGUGCAUCGACGCACGGCAAACAAUAGGCCCCUUCGUGGUAGGGCUCACGGCUACCAUCUCCUGAUAAACUAACAUUAACCUAUUGAAGAGACAACGGGACCUCUUUACCAAGCUUAAACAUUUCAGUAGCUUCAUCUUCCUUCUGACAUCGAUGUGACAGAACCAAGGGAACACCUUUUGAGGACCAAUCGUCAGAAGAAUUUCUGUACAAUGGACUGUGGGUAUUAUUUGAGUAGAGUUUGACCAUCUUGAAUUUAUACUGCUAGUUAGUAAAGAUGUGCUCACACUCAUUAGACUGUCACAGAACGGAGCUCUCACAUAGAAUUGUGUUGACUCACGCUGUCAAUCCCGUCUUGUCUGAAGUCAGACUGUACUCUGAGGAAGACCGUGUGGUUAGUAAAGAGUAGCUCUCACAGCUCUUUUUGUGUUGAUAUCCUUUGACUAGUGAUGCUAGUUUUAGCCAGUGUAGAUAUUCCAAUCUAUCGAUAAGUCAUUUGUUCAACAAUAAGUAGGUUCAAAAACAGUAGUGAACAUGAGACACAUCUUGAAUUAUUUGUAUUUAUUACCUUAACUGUCAAUGCUUGAACACCUAUUGGUGUCAGACAUAUUGUACAUUUAGCUUAUUAGGUAGAAUACCAGAAAACACACUGCCUCGACUUGCCACAAGCAGGAUGAAUGUGAAUACAGCACAAUCAAGCUUUCUGUGCCUAGGUUUGACCUGCUGUACUUCUAAGACUAAAAGGUUUAUAUUUGCUGGUCAUAUAUAACAACCUCUUGGUGAAGUAUACAAGUGAUAUGUUAGGUGAGUGGUCACCAACCAGUCGAUCGGUUAUAUAAAAUAUAUUUUGAUUUGUUUGAAACUUUUUUUGGGUUACCACAUGAUUCCAAGUGUUAUUUCCUAGUUUGUCUUCACUAUUAUUCUACAAUGUAGAAAAUAGUCAAAAUAAAGAAACCCUGGAAUGAGUAGGUGUGCCCAAACGUUUGACUGGUACUGUAUAUAAUUUCCUGAGCUUUCUUAUAUCUUCUAGAUAUAGGACAAACACGUAACCUUGUUUCUUAUUUAUUUUUUGAAUGUCUUUUUGCCAUUUAUGAAUGUGUUAUUCAGUAUCUCUCUGGGUUAUAGUAGUAAAGACCAAAUUCAAUAUUAUAUCAAAUGUUUUUAUUUAUUUUUAUACCUUAAGGGGUCCUAAAAUUCAAAUAUCUAAAUGAGCCACCUCAUGGGAUAAUUUUAAGAUGAUCAUAUGUCAGCUUAGAACCCACCCCACCCCCAGCAAUGCAGAGAAGGAAAAAAACAAUACAAGUAACAAUAGAUACACAAUGAGUGACUCACUUGGCUAUAUACAAGGGGUACGAGGUAGAUAUGGACAUAUAACUAGGAAUAAAGUGACAGUAGCGGCAGUAUAUGUGAUGAGUCAAAGCGAGUGCAAAAAGGGGUCAAUGCAGAUAGUUAACCAAAUAUCUAUUCAGACAAACUAUUUCAGGGUCCUGUUACUAGUUUCAACAAAUCAUUUUUAAAGGAGUAGAAUGUUAACAUUUGUGAACUGUAGUCUUCCAAUCACGAGGCAACGGGAAAAUAAGUCGUGACUAUGAAACUGCUCAAACAUAUUGGACAUUCUUUAACAGGUCAUUUUACCAUUAUGCUGUCAAAUGUAGACACUGUGUAAUGUGUGCCCUAUGCAGGAUAAAGUAGCAUAACACGGGGGUUCCCAAACUGUUGUGAUGGAAAGGUUCUAGGUGGUCCAGAAUUCUGUGAGAAUGUGUUUGUAUCUAAGCAUUUAAAUCAUUCCCAGAUGGACACAAAUAGGGAAUCCUUACCACUGUGCUCUGAUUCAGAGGGGUUGGGUUAAAUGCGGAACACAUACUACUGGUCCAAACUUUUAGAACACCUACUCAUUCAAGGGUUUUUCUUUAUUUUGAACUAUUUUCUACUUUGUAGAAUAAUAGUGAAGACAAAAAAAAACGAUGAAAUAACACAUGGAAUCAUGUAGUAAGCAAAAAAGUGUUAAACAAAUAAAUAUUUUUGAGAUUCUUCAAAUAGCCACCCUUUGCCUUGAUGACAGCUUUGCACACACUUGGCAUUCUCUCAACCAGCUUCAUGAGUUUGUCACCUGGAAUGCAUUUCAAUUAACAGGUGUGCCUUCUAAAUUUGUGGAAUUUCUUUCCUUUUUAAUGUUUGAGCCAAUCAGUUGGGUUGUGACAAGGUAUACAGAAGAUAGCCCUAUUUGGUGAAAGACCAAGUCCAUAUUAUGGUAAGAACAGCUCAAAUAAGCAAAGAGAAAUGACAGUCCAUCAUUACUUUAAGACAUGGUCAGUCAAUAAGGGAAAAUUAAGAACUUUGAAAGUUUCUUCAAGUGCACUCGCAAGCGCUAUGAUGAAACUGGCUCUCAUUAGGACCGCCACGGGAAAGGAAGACCCAGAAUUACCUCUGCUGCAGAGGAUAAGUUCAUUUGUUACCAGCCUCAGAAAUUGCAGCCUAAAUAAAUGCUUCAGAGUUAAAGUAAAAAACACAUGCCCAACAUCAACUAUUCAGAUGAGACUGUGUGCUUUUAUGGUCGAUUUGCUGCGAAGAAACCACUACUAACGGACACCAAUAAUAAGAGACUUGCUUGGGCCAAGAAACACGAGCAAUGGACAUUAGACCGGUGGAAAUUUGUCCUUUGGUCUGGAGUCCAAAUUGGAGAUUUUUGGUUCCAACCGCCGUGUCUUUGUGAGACGCAGUGUGGGUGAACAGAUGAUCGCCGCAUGUGUAUUUUCCAUCGUAAAGCAUGGAGGAGGUGGUGGUGUUAUGGUGUGCGGGUGCAUUGCUAGUGACACUGUCUGUGAUUUAUUUAAAAUUCAAGGCACACUUAACCAGCAUGACUACCACAGCAUUCUGCAGCGAUACGCCAUCCCGUCUAGUUUGGGCUUAGUGGGUCUGUCAUUUGUUUUUCAACAGGACAGUGACCCACAACACACCUCCAGGCUGUGUACGGGCUAUUUUACCAAGGAGAGUGAUGGAGUGCUGCAUCAGAUGACAUGGCCUCCACAAUCCCCCGACCUCAACCAAAUUGUGAUGGUUUGGGAUGAGUCGGACGGCAGAGUGAAGGAAGAGCAGCCAACAAGGGCUCAGCAUAUGUGGGAACUCCUUCAAGACUGUUGGAAAAGCAUUCCAGGUGAAGCUGGUUGAGAGAAUGCCAAGAGUGUGCAAUGAUGUCAAGGCAAAGGGUGGCUACUUUGAAGAAUCUCAAAUAUAAAAUAUAUUUUGAUGUAACUUUUUUUGGUUAUUACAUGAUUCCAUGUGUUAUUUCAUAGUUUUGUCUUCACUAUUACUCUACAAUGUAUUAUAAUAGUAAAAAUAAAGGAAAACCCUUGAAUGAGUAGGUGUUCUAAAACUUCUGACCGGUCGUGUAUUUUGGUUGAAUGCAUUGUUGUGCAACUUACUCGGUAUUCCCUUUCCUCAGUUGAAACAAUGGAGAUGAGUCAAUGCUUGUGUGACAAUGUUUGUAACACUAUUAGUCACCGAAUCUCAACCCAGGAAGGAACAUUGCGGUUUAGCGAAAAAACUGAAGCCUAUUGACAAGUAUAACCGUAGUAUAACUGUGUACUCAGCUUCACUCUUAGUCAGAACACAAUUUUAAGUGUUGUGUGUCAGGAGAAUGUGGAUGGCUGCAUAAUUACCUCAUGUUACUGACAAAAUUACUUCGUUAUCAAUGUUAAGUGGAUAUGGAUAGCAGCAGCAAGAAAAGGGCAAUUUAUAUACAGAAUUAUUUAUUUCAAAUUAUAUUUUUGAAUGUUUAUAGUUUGUGGUAACAGCUAAAUGUCUGGAUAAAUACUGUAAAAGGGACCCCUGCAAAGUUGUUUGUAAAACCAGUGACACCAGCUGACCAACCUUUUGUUACUGAGCAAUAACUGACAAUUUGUUAGUUAAUUUACUUCUCUUGUCUGUUUGGUUUUUGUACAUGGGUUAGUGUAGUAAUAAGCAAUGUUACAUGUGAACUCUGGCUGACUUGUGUAUUAUGUUAUGAAUAAAAUGAGCUGAUUUCUUGAUAUCAA